ACGGUCUUGAUGGCAAAAUAACCGAAAUUCCGGGGCCCUUGGGCACCAGCGCUGGCGAAAGUCUCAAAUCCUGCAGGCUGUGCUGUGUGACCCCAGGCUUCCAGCUGUCCCUCUCUGAGCUUAGGCAUCGAGUCCGGGAACCGGACCCCACACCUGGCGUGACUCUGCCGCGACCCCCUUCUCCCUGCCGACCUGAAGAGAGCCCCCUUCUCCCCCCGGGGUGGGCAGCCCGCGACACAGAGCAAGACACACAGCAGCCAACCUUCUCACGUCUUUAUUUGAAAGGCACAGCUAAGCCCGCCCUCGAUACAGCAUUUCCACAUCUCUCCGGAGAGAUCAAACAACUGAGCACAAAGAGAGCUGACAGUCUAAAAAGCUAUAUACAGACACGCGUGUGGGUGUGUGGUGUGUUUUUUAAACAUUUCUCUUUCUUAUUUUUUAUUUUUUUCCCAAUAUCCCCUCUCUCUUAAAAGACAAGCUAGCGUACUGGAAAGAGAAGAAGAAAAAUUAAUCAAAACCAACACAUCUUUAGUACCCUCAUCUUUAUUGGGGGAGGGGCCGGGUGGGUGGGGGGCGCCUGGAACUUGCGGGCAGGGACAGGGGUGGGCUGGAGGUGGCGGGGGCGGGGGGGGGGGAGGCGCGAGGGGGUGUUGGGCUUCUAGAAGUUUCUCUCCCUUUGGGUCUGGCCUCCCACUUGCCCCUCCAGGCCUGGCCGGCCUCAUCUGGGGUGUGAGCCGGGGAGGGGGGACGCUGGAAAUCGGGGGUCGGGGUGGGACAGAGGCAAAGCUGGGGGUGGCAGGGCCAGGAGCCCACGCCACCGUAAAUACCACGCAAGGGGCCG
This 841-nucleotide long non-coding RNA is filed under the name Dasypus novemcinctus (nine-banded armadillo). Its description in RNAcentral is "lncRNA (ENSDNOG00000050801.1)". The record is from RNAcentral. Lineage: Eukaryota; Metazoa; Chordata; Mammalia; Cingulata; Dasypodidae.